CUGUAAGCCUGUGAAGGUGUACUGUGAGGUAUGCUGGAGGUAUCAGAAGUGCGAAUGCUGACAUAAGUAACGAUAAAGCGGGUGAAAAGCCCGCUCGCCGGAAGACCAAGGGUUCCUGUCCAACGUUAAUCGGGGCAGGGUGAGUCGACCCCUAAGGCGAGGCCGAAAGGCGUAGUCGAUGGGAAACAGGUUAAUAUUCCUGUACUUGGUGUUACUGCGAAGGGGGGACGGAGAAGGCUAUGUUGGCCGGGCGACGGUUGUCCCGGUUUAAGCGUGUAGGCUGGUUUUCCAGGCAAAUCCGGAAAAUCAAGGCUGAGGCGUGAUGACGAGGCACUACGGUGCUGAAGCAACAAAUGCCCUGCUUCCAGGAAAAGCCUCUAAGCAUCAGGUAACAUCAAAUCGUACCCCAAACCGACACAGGUGGUCAGGUAGAGAAUACCAAGGCGCUUGAGAGAACUCGGGUGAAGGAACUAGGCAAAAUGGUGCCGUAACUUCGGGAGAAGGCACGCUGAUAUGUAGGUGAAGUCCCUCGCGGAUGGAGCUGAAAUCAGUCGAAGAUACCAGCUGGCUGCAACUGUUUAUUAAAAACACAGCACUGUGCAAACACGAAAGUGGACGUAUACGGUGUGACGCCUGCCCGGUGCCGGAAGGUUAAUUGAUGGG
Molecule: ribosomal RNA, 663 nt
Filed under: Escherichia coli
Lineage: Bacteria; Pseudomonadati; Pseudomonadota; Gammaproteobacteria; Enterobacterales; Enterobacteriaceae
Description: partial 23S ribosomal RNA
Rfam family: Bacterial large subunit ribosomal RNA
Source: RNAcentral